This 769-nucleotide ribosomal RNA is filed under the name Halorubrum saccharovorum. RNAcentral describes it as "bacterial SSU rRNA". It matches the Rfam family "Archaeal small subunit ribosomal RNA", at positions 54 to 824 of the family's 1478-position model. Lineage: Archaea; Methanobacteriati; Methanobacteriota; Halobacteria; Halobacteriales; Haloferacaceae. The record is from RNAcentral.
CUAGUCGCACGAGUUCAGACUCGUGGCGAAUAGCUCAGUAACACGUGGCCAAACUACCCUUCGGAGCUCCAUACCCUCGGGAAACUGAGGCUAAUAGAGCAUCCCACAUUCCAGCUGGAAUGAGGAAUGUGCCAAACGCUCCGGCGCCGAAGGAUGUGGCUGCGGCCGAUUAGGUAGACGGUGGGGUAACGGCCCACCGUGCCAAUAAUCGGUACGGGUCAUGAGAGUGAGAACCCGGAGACGGAAUCUGAGACAAGAUUCCGGGCCCUACGGGGCGCAGCAGGCGCGAAACCUUUACACUGCACGCCAGUGCGAUAAGGGAAUCCCAAGUGCGCAGGCAUAGAGCCUGCGCUUUUGUACACCGUAGGGAGGUGUACGAAUAAGGGCUGGGCAAGACCGGUGCCAGCCGCCGCGGUAAUACCGGCAGCCCGAGUGAUGGCCGAUCUUAUUGGGCCUAAAGCGUCCGUAGCUGGCCGCACAAGUCCAUCGGAAAAUCCACCCGCCCAACGGGUGGGCGUCCGGUGGAAACUGUGUGGCUUGGGACCGGAAGGCGCGACGGGUACGUCCGGGGUAGGAGUGAAAUCCCGUAAUCCUGGACGGACCGCCGAUGGCGAAAGCACGUCGCGAGGACGGAUCCGACAGUGAGGGACGAAAGCCAGGGUCUCGAACCGGAUUAGAUACCCGGGUAGUCCUGGCCGUAAACAAUGCCUGCUAGGUGUGGCUCCCGCUACGAGCGGGUGCUGUGCCGUAGGGAAGCCGCUAAGCAGGC